Long non-coding RNA from Gallus gallus (chicken), 3466 nucleotides. The record is from Ensembl. Lineage: Eukaryota; Metazoa; Chordata; Aves; Galliformes; Phasianidae.
CAAUUUGUAGAGCAAUAAAUACCGAGGCGGUGGGAGGAGUCCCCAGAAGAAAAAUCGUCCUCCUUCUCCAAUUAAAACUCCAUCUCGGCAUCGCUGCGGACCGUGGGAAGGUCUGAAGGAAAACACGGUGGCCCCGAUAUUCUUCUAACUGAGAAGUGCUACACAGUCUCUUCUAGAUGAGAUGUCUGACUAGAAAGGACAGGUGCAAAACCAGAGCAGCAAGAUCAGAGUGUGAAACUCAGUGAUGCUACUGCCGUCUCCAGCUGUCCUCCUCUCAGGCUCCCCCACAGGCAGCUAGCUUGGAUAAUGGACUCGAGGGAACACAUGUAUUGCUGUCGGCUUCUCUCCACACCCACUCUGUGAGAUGACUACAGGAUCAUUUUAAUCAAGAAUGAAGACUACAUAAUUCAAGCAACAGGGUCAAAAGUCUGAUGUCUGCAGGGAAAGUGCAUUGGUUUAACUUCAGUCAGAUUUUAAAUCUUGGCUUUAAGGCUUGGCUAAAUAAUUAGGUCAAACCAGUGCAACGUUCCCGUGUAACUAAGGCCUUAAAAAAGGAUUUUAAAGAUAAAUAUCUCAGUUAAUUACUUAAGCUACAGUCUGAAACCUAUUGAAGUCAAUGAGACAGGAGAGCAAGCAGCCAACAAGAUACACUCUGAAGUGUCUUUCUGAAUCAGUAGCUUCAUUCUGCUCUAAGGAACAAACCUCCAUUUCAGCGAAAGUCAUCUUAGGAUCAUGGUGCUUUCUUAGAUCUCUGUCAGCCGCAAAGCCUACAAGAGAGAGGACAGUGCUAAGGCCUGGCUGCAGGAGAGUGUUGCAGGAAGCUGGAGAGAGCAGAUUCUCAGCUAUACAUUCCAUUACAAAGUCUGACUUAAUUCAUGGAUCAGGAAUGGAAGACCAACUUCCUUGCCUUCAAACCAUGAGGAGUUUCAGAAAGUAGAGUCAACUUCUCACUGUACCAAACUAAAAGAACAGACACAAAUGAAAAACUUCAAUAGUGCAACAAGCUCUGCUCAAAGAAGCUCACCCAGCAGCCCGUUCAAUGCUUUGGCUUUUGUUAAAAGGGAGGUUCUUCAGAGCAAGAGGUUCCAUUACAUGUCUACAUGUUGAGGAGAAGACCCUGGCCAGUGGCCGGCCACCCAUUCAGCCACUCCCUCACUCCCCUUCCUCAUGGGGGCAUGCAGGGGCAGAAAAAUGAUGAAAAAGCUUGUGGACAGAGAUAAAGACAGGGAAAUUACUUACUAGUUACUGUCAAGCAAUUACUUACCAAUUUGUCACUUGGAGAAAAUUAAUUUUUUGCCAAUUGAAAGAGCUUUGGUUUUUUUGAGAAACAAAAUCAAAAACUGAAGGCACGUCUUACCCCCACAUCCUUUCCCACUUCAUUCCUGAUUCCUCUUUCAGUGAAUGGGAGGUGUGACGGGUCCACAACAGUUCCUCUCCACCUCUCCUUUCUCCUCACACUGUUCUCUUGCUCCACCAUGGGCCUCUUCAAUGGGCUGCAGAUUCAUGCUCUGUCUUGGAGGACCUCAUUACUCUCCUCUUUCUCUGAACUUGGCCUUCACCCCAUUACUUCAUCCUUUUUUUCCCCUUCCUCUGCCUGCCUAGUGCUUUUGCCCAUUCUUUAAUACAUCUUCCCUGAGACACCAGCAAAAAGCCACGUGGGCUCCUGGAGCUUGGCAGCGUCUGCUAGGAUGGCCACUGGUCCAUCACUGGUCAACAAUGAGUGUUGCGCCAUCACUUGUUGUAUGCUUCUGGUUCUAAUGCAAGGGAGCAGAUUGAUAUAUAACGUCACUAUUUCCAACCUCAGAUAUUCAGCAAAUGUAUUUUUUUCCCCAAAUACUUUUCAAUGGCAAAUAUAGAUAUCUUUUCGUUUGUAUUUUGACCUCCAAGUCUUGAAUCUUUCUCCAAACACAUAGUCAAGAAACUCAUUUUUCAAAAGUCCUAAGAGUUGAGUUUCUUAUGAGAGUCUGGUCCACUUCAAGGAGAGAAACCUCAGUUUAUGAAAAAUAAUAUUACAACUGUUGUGCUGGCUGAUGUCCUCUACUUUUACAAGAGAACAAUAGAAAAUCAAUUACACUGACAAACCCCCCUUGUGGGGUGAAACUGUGUAGGCUUUCCCAACAGACAUAACAGAUGUUUCUUGAAGAGUGAUUUCUGAAGGUAAGGAAAUAAGGCAUCUUUUCAUGAAUAUUAUAUCUUCAUUUCCGCAGCUACAUAUUGCAAUCCUUCUGCAUUUCCAAGAGUGGUAGGCUUUAUCACAGAGACAAUUGCUUUGUGUUGGACUAAAACCACAGCUUUUUUGCUUAUGGACUACCAAGCAAUGUGUAGAUGGUGACACUCACCAAAAAUCUCAGCAAACUGACAUUGCAUGAGGUGAAAAACAUUUGUCCUGCUCCUUUCCCCCACCAUGCCACCCUUCUCUGUCUCAUAUUUGUACAUCAAGGAAAAGAUACAGUAUUUGGUAUUUAAAACUUACUUUUGUAGAAGGUUGUAGCAGCACACAUUUUUAGAGAAGUAUUCUGCCAGGUCAGGGGAGGAUUUAUUUUCUGAAUGCCUAAUGCAUAUUUAAAAGCUGAUAAUAGUACAUGACAGCACCAAAAAUGUUAUAUAACUUCUAGAAUGUCUAUUAAAAAAGUAGAGCCUUGCCAUUAAAAAAAAAAGUAGAAGCCUGUGAGAUUCCCACCAUCUGGAUGGAGUCUUUUUUCUUCCCAGAUGAAUUAGUUGUCAAGGGAGGAAUUAUUUUAGGCAUCAAGUAACCCCUGAUUGUGAGUGACAGACUAACACAAGAGCAGAUGCAAGGUUACUGCUGCCUAUCCAUUAUGUGGAAAGGAGACCCAUGCAUGUCCUACUUACUGUGCAUACUGACUUGGGUUAUUAAAAGAGUAACUAGAGGUGGGUCAGACCCAGAAGAUAGCUCAUACCACUCACAACAGAUGUUCUUUCACAGGAGAGAAAACAAACACUGGAUACUUUCUGGGGAUACUGUAGAAGGAGGGGACUUCACUACUUUCAACAAGUCACAAGUACAGAUUCCCAACAGAGGCACAAAUCAACUUUUUCAUUCAAAUAACAGUUAUUUGAGACCGUGAUGAAACACGAGAGGACUGUGGACCGUGCCAGUGAGAAUAAAGAAAUAAAAAACAGUGCCAUCUUGUGGCCUACAGUACUCUGAAUGCUCCCAAGAGGAAAGAGGAAAAUCUUUUGCACUAAGAAAAAAGUACCGGUAACUUCUGGCCAAACGAUAAGUAACCUUAUUUCAGUUCAGAAUCCUGUCUUGAAUAUGCAGACUUUGGUUUUAUCAUAUGACUGAAACAAAUACCUCUUCCUUUUAUAAUUGCACGUGUUAUAAAAGAGUGGCAUAUUGUUUUUAUUGGACUAAUUCUCGCUCCACUACUACUGAAGAGAUUUGAGAGCUCAUAUAUUCAUCAUCCGUCGAAGUAAUCUCCAUGGUAUCUUAGAUUCAGACAAA